AUUGAACGCUGGCGGCAUGCUUUACACAUGCAAGUCGAACGGUAACAGGUUAAGCUGACGAGUGGCGAACGGGUGAGUAAUGCAUCGGAACGUGCCCGGUCGUGGGGGAUAACGCAGCGAAAGCUGCGCUGAUACCGCAUACGAUCUGAGGAUGAAAGCGGGGGACCGUAAGGCCUCGCGCGAUCGGAGCGGCCGAUGUCAGAUUAGGUAGUUGGUGGGGUAAAGGCUCACCAAGCCAACGAUCUGUAGCUGGUCUGAGAGGACGAACAGCCACACUGGGACUGGGACACGGCCCAGACUCCUACGGGAGGCAGCAGUGGGGAAUUUUGGACAAUGGGCGAAAGCCUGAUCCAGCAGUGCCGCGUGCAGGAAGAAGGCCUUCGGGUUGUAAACUGCUUUUGUACGGAGCGAAAAGGUCUCCUCUAAUACAGGGGGCUCAUGACGGUACCGUAAGAAUAAGCACCGGCUAACUCCGUGCCAGCCGCCGCAGUAA
This 493-nucleotide ribosomal RNA is filed under the name uncultured bacterium. RNAcentral's name for it is "partial 16S ribosomal RNA". It matches the Rfam family "Bacterial small subunit ribosomal RNA", at positions 29 to 523 of the family's 1533-position model. The record is from RNAcentral.